GACGAACGCUGGCGGCGUGCUUAACACAUGCAAGUCGAACGGAAAGGCCCUGCUUUUGUGGGGUGCUCGAGUGGCGAACGGGUGAGUAACACGUGAGUAACCUGCCCUUGACUUUGGGAUAACUUCAGGAAACUGGGGCUAAUACCGGAUAGGAGCUCCUGCUGCAUGGUGGGGGUUGGAAAGUUUCGGCGGGUGGGGAUGGACUCGCGGCUUAUCAGCUUGUUGGUGGGGUAGUGGCUUACCAAGGCUUUGACGGGUAGCCGGCCUGAGAGGGUGACCGGCCACAUGGGGACUGAGAUACGGCCCAGACUCCUCAGGGAGGCAGCAGUGGGGAAUAUAGCACAAUGGGCGGAAGCCGGAUGCAGCAACGCCGCGUGCGGGAUGACGGCCUUCGGGUUGUAAACCGCUUUCGCCUGUGACGAAGCGUGAGUGACGGUAAUGGGUAAAGAAGCACCGGCUAACUACGU
RNAcentral lists this ribosomal RNA (467 nucleotides) under uncultured bacterium. Its description in RNAcentral is "partial 16S ribosomal RNA". It matches the Rfam family "Bacterial small subunit ribosomal RNA", at positions 28 to 506 of the family's 1533-position model. The record is from RNAcentral.